Molecule: ribosomal RNA, 496 nt
Filed under: uncultured bacterium
Lineage: Bacteria
Description: partial 16S ribosomal RNA
Rfam family: Bacterial small subunit ribosomal RNA
Source: RNAcentral
GACGAACGCUGGCGGCGUGCCUAAUACAUGCAAGUUGAGCGCUGAAGGAUGGUACUUGUACCCACUGGAUGAGCAGCGAACGGGUGAGUAACGCGUGGGGAAUCUGCCUUUGAGCGGGGGACAACAUUUGGAAACGAAUGCUAAUACCGCAUAAAAACUUUAAACACAAGUUUUAAGUUUGAAAGAUGCAAUUGCAUCACUCAAAGAUGAUCCCGCGUUGGAUUAGCUAGUUGGUGAGGUAAAGGCUCACCAAGGCGAUGAUACAUAGCCGACCUGAGAGGGUGAUCGGCCACAUUGGAACUGAGACACGGCCCAAACUCCUACGGGAGGCAGCAGUAGGGAAUCUUCGGCAAUGGACGAAAGUCUGACCGAGCAACGCCGCGUGAGUGAAGAAGGUGUUCGGAUCGUAAAACUCUGUUGGUAGGGAAGAACGUUAGUGAGAGUGGAAAGCUCAUCAAGUGACGGUAACUACCCAGAAAGGGACGGCUAACUACGU